This 457-nucleotide long non-coding RNA is filed under the name Vitis vinifera (wine grape). Its description in RNAcentral is "long non-coding RNA (VVIN_LNC003186)". The record is from RNAcentral. Lineage: Eukaryota; Viridiplantae; Streptophyta; Magnoliopsida; Vitales; Vitaceae.
UUUUUUUUUUAUUUCUUCUUCUCCUCUCCUUCCCCCCCGCGCAGCGCCACCAGCCGCACUACCAAUGGCAGCCGUGCCAGCGCCGCCGGACAGCUCGCCUGUCGCCGCCAGCCGCCAGCCGCGCCGCCGGCCAGAGCAGCACCAGCCGGCCAGCACGCAGCCGGCCAGCACGCAGCAGGCCAACGCGCAGCCUGCUGGAGCUUCUCUGCGAUCAGCUCCUCCGCCAUCAGCUCCUCCGCGCCAUCAGCUCGCGUCGCCGACGCCGCCAGCAUCGCGCCUCCAUCGCCAAGCAGUUGAUAGCAAAGGAAAAACAAAGUGAAAUGAACGAGAGAAAGAAAAGAAAGAAAGGCUAUACCUGCGUGAAGAAAGUCCUCCCCCCAGCUCUUGCUCCUCUUUCCCUUCCUUUUUCUUUUCUCUGCUCCAAACUCUUCCAGUCCCCCCCUUCCCGUGUCUUCCU